GUUGGAAAGGCAUUGAAGGAGAAGCCUCUGGUGCUUGCUUGCAAGCUUGUUCGCUGCAUGCACUUCUAUGUCACAUUUCGCACAAAGCGCUGCUUCAUCUGCACAACAAAUGACAGUGGCUGGAGCUCUCUCACACACAUCACACUGAAUCUUCAUCUUCCUUGAACACCUCUUGCUUUACAAUCACUUUUCGCUACUUUUAACAGAUACCCACUUCGUUUUUCACCUAACCUAGUAGCUUUCCUCUCAGGGAGAUUCAAACUUCAAAGCAUGGCCAUGAAAACGAAAGGAGAGAGAAAUAUUUCGAGAACAAUGAAAUACCCAGUAUCAGUGCCAGAAAAUUGCCUGAAGUACAAACAAAUAUUCUAGACCAAACAGAAAAAGAUUCUUGGAGGAAAAAUCUUGAUUCUUUAACAGAAAGAUACGCCGAGAAUGUGGGAAGACUGAAGAAAGAAAAAAACACAAGAAAGAAAAGAAAGGAAACGAAAAGAAAAGAAAGGAGAAAAUGUGGGAAAAUAUAAGAAAAAGAAAAAAA
RNAcentral lists this unclassified non-coding RNA (535 nucleotides) under Hevea brasiliensis (rubber tree). The record is from RNAcentral. Lineage: Eukaryota; Viridiplantae; Streptophyta; Magnoliopsida; Malpighiales; Euphorbiaceae.